UACAGAGGGGGCAAGCGUUAUUCGGAAUUAUUGGGCGUAAAGGGCGCGUAGGCGGCAUGGCAAGUGGAAGGUGAAAUCCCUCGGCUUAACCGGGGAACUGCGUCUGAUACUGGAUGGCUUGAGUGUGGGAGAGGGAUGCGGAAUUCCAGGUGUAGCGGUGAAAUGCGUAGAUAUCUGGAGGAACACCGGUGGCGAAGGCGGCAUCCUGGACCAUUACUGACACUGAAUAGCGAAAGCCAGGGGAGCAAACGGG
RNAcentral lists this ribosomal RNA (253 nucleotides) under uncultured bacterium. RNAcentral's name for it is "partial 16S ribosomal RNA". It matches the Rfam family "Bacterial small subunit ribosomal RNA", at positions 524 to 776 of the family's 1533-position model. The record is from RNAcentral.